CCUGCUUUAAUUUCUUCAACGACACAAGACUGAGAUCGAUUCUUUACCGGUAACUUAACUCUAGAGUGUGAGACUGAGUGGUGAAACUCCUUUCAAGUCUCGCUAAAUUCCUCUGUUCCCUUCAAACAACAGCAAGGUAGGAUCCUGACGACAGUUAUGAGAGCAUUCAUCCUGGGUGGGCAGCGCGGAGACCAAUUUUAGGUGGGCCUCGGCCGGCCCGGUCCAGACUGUAGUUAAGGCCAU
Molecule: long non-coding RNA, 243 nt
Filed under: Brachypodium distachyon (stiff brome)
Lineage: Eukaryota; Viridiplantae; Streptophyta; Magnoliopsida; Poales; Poaceae
Description: long non-coding RNA (BDIS_LNC001207)
Source: RNAcentral